Molecule: ribosomal RNA, 508 nt
Filed under: uncultured bacterium
Lineage: Bacteria
Description: partial 16S ribosomal RNA
Rfam family: Bacterial small subunit ribosomal RNA
Source: RNAcentral
GACGAACGCUGGCGGCGCGCUUAACACAUACAAGUCGAGCGAGAACCGGGGCUUCGGCCCCGGGGACAGCGGCGAACGGGUGAGUAACACGUGAGUAACCUGCCCUCGGCACCGGAAUAGCCCGGGGAAACCCGGAUUAAUGCCGGAUAGCCCCACCGUCCUGCGGGACGAUGGGAAAAGGUAGCUUCGGCCUCUGGCCGAGGAAGGGCGCGCGGCGGAUUAGCUUGUUGGCGGGGUAACGGCCCACCAAGGCGACGAUCCGUAGCUGGUCUGAGAGGACGAUCAGCCACACUGGGACUGAGACACGGCCCAGACUCCUACGGGAGGCAGCAGUGGGGAAUCUUGCGCAAUGGGCGAAAGCCUGACGCAGCGACGCCGCGUGGGGGAAGAAGGCCUUCGGGUUGUAAACCUCUUUCAGGUGGGACGAAGCCACUCGGGUGAAUAGCCCAGAGGGUGACGGUACCUCCAGAAGAAGCCCCGGCUAACUACGUGCCAGCAGCCGCCGUAA